RNAcentral lists this ribosomal RNA (253 nucleotides) under uncultured bacterium. RNAcentral describes it as "partial 16S ribosomal RNA". It matches the Rfam family "Bacterial small subunit ribosomal RNA", at positions 524 to 776 of the family's 1533-position model. The record is from RNAcentral.
UACGUAGGGCGCAAGCGUUGUCCGGAAUUAUUGGGCGUAAAGAGCUCGUAGGCGGCUUGUCACGUCGGGUGUGAAAGCCCGGGGCUUAACCCCGGGUCUGCAUUCGAUACGGGCUGGCUGGAGUGUGGUAGGGGAGAUCGGAAUUCCUGGUGUAGCGGUGGAAUGCGCAGAUAUCAGGAGGAACACCGGUGGCGAAGGCGGGUCUCUGGGCAACAACUGACGCUGAGGAGCGAAAGCGUGGGGAGCGAACAGG